Molecule: ribosomal RNA, 492 nt
Filed under: uncultured bacterium
Lineage: Bacteria
Description: partial 16S ribosomal RNA
Rfam family: Bacterial small subunit ribosomal RNA
Source: RNAcentral
AGUGAACGCUGGCGGUAGGCCUAACACAUGCAAGUCGAACGGCAGCACAGUAAGAGCUUGCUCUUACGGGUGGCGAGUGGCGGACGGGUGAGGAAUACAUCGGAAUCUACUUUUUCGUGGGGGAUAACGUAGGGAAACUUACGCUAAUACCGCAUACGACCUACGGGUGAAAGCAGGGGAUCUUCGGACCUUGCGCGAUUGAAUGAGCCGAUGUCGGAGUAGCUAGUUGGCGGGGUAAAGGCCCACCAAGGCGACGAUCCGUAGCUGGUCUGAGAGGAUGAUCAGCCACACUGGAACUGAGACACGGUCCAGACUCCUACGGGAGGCAGCAGUGGGGAAUAUUGGACAAUGGGCGCAAGCCUGAUCCAGCCAUACCGCGUGGGUGAAGAUGGCCUUCGGGUUGUAAAGCCCUUUUGUUGGGAAAGAAAAGCAGCAGGUUAAUACCCCGCUGUUCUGACGGUACCCAAAGAAUAAGCACCGGCUAACUUCGUG